This 584-nucleotide unclassified non-coding RNA is filed under the name Orussus abietinus. RNAcentral's name for it is "cytochrome b5, transcript variant X3". Lineage: Eukaryota; Metazoa; Arthropoda; Insecta; Hymenoptera; Orussidae. The record is from RNAcentral.
UUUACUUAAAUAUAUUAUAUAGGAAGAUUCAUCAUCUAUAGUGUAAAAAUGGCAACUGCGAGUACUGCUCCUACCACUAACACGUACACUCGGUUGGAGGUAGCCAAGCACAAGGACACUAAGGAAACGUGGAUUAUAAUUCAUAAUAAAGUUUACGACGUCACAAAAUUUCUUAAUGAGCACCCUGGAGGAGAAGAAGUCAUUCAGGAACAAUCUGGGAGAGAUGCAACCGAAGCUUUUGAAGAUGUUGGUCAUUCUAGUGAUGCCAGGCAAAUGAUGGAACCAUAUCAAAUAGGAGAACUUGUAAAAGAAGAUAGAACAAAAUCUGAUGACAAGAAAAGCGAGGACUGGUCAAAUAAAUCAAAUGGAAAAGAUAAUUCCAGAAAAUUGUCCCAUAGCUACUUCCGAGUGCCAGAAAAAGUUAGACUGUUUUAGCUUGCGUAGCAUAAAUAUUUGCUACGUAUCAUACAUCCUUAAACACAUUUGAAUGCAUGUGAUUCUUGGAGAUCAUGGCUGAUUCCUGUCGCACUUGGUGUUCUUGCUACUCUCGUCUACCGUUACUUCAUCAGCUCGCACUGAAUUAA